AUUAAAGAAAUAAAUAAAUAAAUGAACUUCUAAUUCAUAAAUUAAUGAAAUAUUCAUUUUUAUUUC
RNAcentral lists this transfer RNA (66 nucleotides) under Schlettererius cinctipes. Its description in RNAcentral is "tRNA-Ser". Lineage: Eukaryota; Metazoa; Arthropoda; Insecta; Hymenoptera; Stephanidae. The record is from RNAcentral.